AGAGUUUGAUCCUGGCUCAGAGCGAACGCUGGCGGCGUGCUUAACACAUGCAAGUCGAACGCGCAGCAUUCUGUAGCAAUACAGGGUGUGGGCGCGUGGCGAACGGGUGCGUAACACGUGGAUAACCUUCCUUGAGGUGGGGAAUAACCCAGUGAAAAUUGGGCUAAUACCGCAUAACAUCGCGAUGGCACAUGCUGAUGCGAUCAAAGGCGCAAGUCGCCGCAAGAGGGAUCCGCGGCCGAUUAGCUUGUUGGCGAGGUAAUGGCUCACCAAGGCAAUGAUCGGUAGCCGGACUGAGAGGUUGGCCGGCCACACUGGAACUGAGACACGGUCCAGACUCCUACGGGAGGCAGCAGUGGGGAAUCUUGCACAAUGGACGAAAGUCUGAUGCAGCAACGCCGCGUGGGGGAUGAAGCUUCUCGGAGUGUAAACCCCUUUCGACCCGGAAGAAUGCCCGCAAGGGUAUGACGGUACGGGUAUAAGAAGCCCCGGCUAACUACGUGCCAGCAGCCGCGGUAAUACGUAGGGGGCCAGCGUUGCUCGGAAUUACUGGGCGUAAAGGGUCCGUAGGCGGUGUAGCAAGUCGAUAGUGAAAUCUCUGGGCUUAACCCAGAGGCUGCUAACGAAACUGCUGUGCUAGAGUGUGAGAGAGGCGAGUGGAAUUACGGGUGUAGCGGUGAAAUGCGUAGAUAUCCGUAGGAACAUCCGAGGCGAAGGCGGCUCGCUGGAUCACAACUGACGCUGAGGGACGAAAGCUAGGGGAGCAAACAGGAUUAGAUACCCUAGUAGUCC
Molecule: ribosomal RNA, 792 nt
Filed under: uncultured bacterium
Lineage: Bacteria
Description: bacterial SSU rRNA
Rfam family: Bacterial small subunit ribosomal RNA
Source: RNAcentral